RNAcentral lists this transfer RNA (72 nucleotides) under Paradactylodon persicus (Persian mountain salamander). RNAcentral's name for it is "tRNA-Pro". It matches the Rfam family "tRNA". Rfam says of the family: Transfer RNA (tRNA) molecules are approximately 80 nucleotides in length. Their secondary structure includes four short double-helical elements and three loops (D, anti-codon, and T loops). The record is from RNAcentral. Lineage: Eukaryota; Metazoa; Chordata; Amphibia; Caudata; Hynobiidae.
CAAGAGGUAUUUUAUCUAUUAGAAUCCUGGCUUUGGGGGUCAGGGGCGGGGGUGAAAAUCCCCCCUUCUUGA